AUUUGAUUUUAUUAGGAUCUCUUUUAGUCCCCAUUAGAACUAAUCUUCCAAGAGUCCUUAAAAUUAAAAUACAAUUUAUAAUACAAACAAAUGUUCCACAUAUAACACACUAUUACAAACAUACAUAAUAUACUAACAUAAUGACCCAAUAAAUACUCAGUCUAAAAAAAUAUUGAUUCUUCAUCUACUAUACUCCCACAACAUUUCUAUCUAUUAUAUUUAAAUCAUUUUAAAAUAAUGUUUACAUUUAUAUAUUGAAAGGUUUCUCGUUUGCUCAAUUAAUUAAUUCAAUUUCUUUAUUGCUCUAAAUCAAAAUGUUCUUUUGCCCAUUUCUCUUUUCUGUCUGGACAACGCAUAGAUGGUGGACAAUCUAUUCCUAGUAUUUACUGAAUGUCUGUCUCUUAACCAACUGAAUACCGUUGUGAAUAGAACUCGGACGUUUUAAAUUAUUUAUAUUAUGAAGUAAAAUAAGCAUGUUUUUUUUUUCUUUAAUUAUCUUGUCGAUUGAUGACCAACCAAGAACACUGCACAUAGAACCGCAACAGUAGAACCAUAUCUCCACCUUAAAACAACCCAUGACUGCAACAGUAGAACCAUAUCUCCACCUUAAAACAACCCAUGACUGCAACAGUAGAACCACAUCUCCACCUUAAAACAACCCAUGACUGUAGAUUGUCAAGCCUCUGAUCCUGGGUAAACCAACAAGGUAGAUUGUCAAGCCUCUGAUCCUGGGUAAACCAACAAGGUAGAUUGUCAAGCCUCUGAUCCUGGGUAAACCAACAAGGUAGAUUGUCAAGCCUCUGAUCCUGGGUAAACCAACAAGGAAGAUUGUCAAGCCUCUGAUCCUGGGUAAACCAACAAGGUAGAUUGUCAAGCCUCUGAUCCUGGGUAAACCAACAAGGAAGAUUGUCAAGCCUCUGAUCCUGGGUAAAC
Long non-coding RNA from Oncorhynchus tshawytscha (Chinook salmon), 933 nucleotides. Lineage: Eukaryota; Metazoa; Chordata; Actinopteri; Salmoniformes; Salmonidae. The record is from Ensembl.